RNAcentral lists this ribosomal RNA (497 nucleotides) under uncultured bacterium. Its description in RNAcentral is "partial 16S ribosomal RNA". It matches the Rfam family "Bacterial small subunit ribosomal RNA", at positions 28 to 507 of the family's 1533-position model. The record is from RNAcentral.
GAUGAACGCUGGCGGCGUGCCUAAUACAUGCAAGUCGAGCGAACGGACGAGAAGCUUGCUUCUCUGAUGUUAGCGGCGGACGGGUGAGUAACACGUGGAUAACCUACCUAUAAGACUGGGAUAACUUCGGGAAACCGGAGCUAAUACCGGAUGAUAUUUUGAACCGCAUGGUCCAAAAGUGAAAGACGGUCUUGCUGUCACUUAUAGAUGGAUCCGCGCUGCAUUAGCUAGUUGGUAAGGUAACGGCUUACCAAGGCAACGAUGCAUAGCCGACCUGAGAGGGUGAUCGGCCACACUGGAACUGAGACACGGUCCAGACUCCUACGGGAGGCAGCAGUAGGGAAUCUUCCGCAAUGGGCGAAAGCCUGACGGAGCAACGCCGCGUGAGUGAUGAAGGUCUUCGGAUCGUAAAACUCUGUUAUUAGGGAAGAACAUAUGUGUAAGUAACUGUGCACAUCUUGACGGUACCUAAUCAGAAAGCCACGGCUAACUACGUG